Molecule: long non-coding RNA, 724 nt
Organism: Hippocampus comes (tiger tail seahorse)
Lineage: Eukaryota; Metazoa; Chordata; Actinopteri; Syngnathiformes; Syngnathidae
Exons: 4
Source: RefSeq, a predicted model, not a curated record
UUUCCAGGGGCGGAGCGACGUGGUGGCCAGAGGUGGCCAGCGCCCAUCUUGGGGAAAAUGUUACUGGGGGCGUUGCAGCUUGGCCACAUCAUUAGUACGGACCAGAAGAUUGUAGACUGCUGUAGGCGCCGUUGUAGGGACAGCGAGCCCGGAAGCCACAGCUGGGGCCGCUGGGCCAUGCGGCGCAGAACUGCAGCAAGCUACGUGGCUGCGCUCCAGAGUUCCACAAACCCUGUCGGGCAUCUGCUGCUUGUCUGAUCAUCUGCUGCUCGUCUGGGCCCGAUGGGAACAUCUCUGAAAAUGGACAUUGGAAGAAAUGCUGCCUUUAGAACGCGCACCCCCUGCAUUGGAGAAGUUCCCUCACCAUGUUGUCAAUCCAAUCAGCUGACUCAAUAUGAGGAAGUGGCACAGCAUGAGGAACUUUUGCAAAGGAAGAUUUUUCCUGCAGUGUCAUCCUGACCCUCCCGCGACUGAAUGACGAGCAAACGCAAACGAGCGGCCGUGCCGAGAUGGAGUCAUUUGAAGUUCUCGGCCGUCGGAGGGAUAUCCAUGAACCAAACAUUGAAACGUGACGCCAUGCUUGCCCCUGCACAAAACAGUGUCGGUGUGACGUCUUGGUCUUUUUGAUGAAGGCACCGUGUGACCACGUUUGAUUCUGAGGCCACUUUGACGGUUUGCAGGCUGUCUGAAGUGAGAUCAGAGGCGCAAGAGCCGAGAAGCAGAC